This 239-nucleotide long non-coding RNA is filed under the name Gossypium barbadense (sea-island cotton). RNAcentral describes it as "long non-coding RNA (GBAR_LNC002518)". Lineage: Eukaryota; Viridiplantae; Streptophyta; Magnoliopsida; Malvales; Malvaceae. The record is from RNAcentral.
AAAAACAUCAUUAAUAGGAUGAACUUUCUCAAUUUUACAUAGCAUCUACAACUUAAUGAGAUUAUCAUGAUGCAUCAUGUUAUAAGCCUGGGUACAACAAGAAAUUUUCUCCCCAUAUUAACAUAAUUUUGCCUUUUUUUAUAAGAGAUUUUUAAGAUUUACAAUGGGAGGUAGAGUUAUCUCCCAUCCCAUUAAGCCUACCUCACAUUUCCUAGGAUUUUAAGUUUUAAAAUGGCUGG